Molecule: long non-coding RNA, 2299 nt
Organism: Panicum virgatum (switchgrass)
Lineage: Eukaryota; Viridiplantae; Streptophyta; Magnoliopsida; Poales; Poaceae
Exons: 3
Source: RefSeq, a predicted model, not a curated record
UCAAUCAUUGUGCUUUGCUGAUUGUUUAUCCAAGAUGAGGAGAGUAAGAACCCUUGAUAGUUGGUAUAAGCCUUUUGUUGCUACUGAAAAUCCUAGUGUCAAUAAUGACCAAGCUGCUGAGCUGGACGAAAUGCAAGUUCCGGAACCAAAACAAUAUCAAUCUGCACCUUCUGAAAUUGAACAAGCUAGAGUUUUAACUACAACAUUUGAGAGGGACCCGGGUAAACGCAAACAAAUUUUGAAACUCUUGCCGGCGCAACAAGAUGAAGCUCUACAAUUCUAUAUAUCAGAGGGUCCAUAUCAACCUAUUUUGAAAGAAUAUCCAUUUAAAGGCGCGGAGAUUCAUCGUCGGAGAUUCUGUAGCAAUUGGUUUACUGAUUUCUGGUGGCUAGAGUAUUCACCUCACACUGAUCGUGCAUAUUACUUGCCUUGCUUUCUUUUUUCAAAAAAGCCAGUUGGGAGGUCCGGCUCGGAUACAUUCACUGUGAAGGGGUUCCAAAAUUGGAAAAGAGUAAAUGAUGGAAAAGCAUGUGCUUUUCUAACUCAUAUGGGUAAAGAUACUAGCUCAGCUCAUAAUUAUUCAGUUCAAUGUUAUAACAAUUUCAAAAAUAGAAUGGCUCAUAUUGACCAAAUGGUCAUUAAACGAAAAGAGAAAAUAGUCGCAGAUGCAAGAGUUCGGGUUGUGACUACAAUUGAUGCCCUUAGGUAAUAAGAAUUUUUUUUUAUAUAUCAUUGCAAUUAGAAUUGUGUAUGUAAUUAUGUAUCAUCAAGUAAGAAUUUGCUCAAACUUAGAGACAUCAGUUAUAUCAUUGCAUUGUUUGGAUAUUAUCAGGUGGUUAACUUUUCAACUAUGUCCACUUAGAGACCAUGAAGAAUCUCUAGAUUCAAUAAAUCGGGGCAACUUUCUUGAAAUGCUCAAACUUUUGGCUUCUUACAAUAAGGAUGUGGAUGCUGUUGUGUUGGAAAAUGCUCUAGGAAAUGCUAAGUACACUUCACCUGAAGUUCAGGUUGAACUCCUUGGCAUAUAUGCUCGAAAAGUGCAGAAUACUAUUAGAGAAGAAAUUGGCAACAACAAGUUUUGUAUCAUGGUAGAUGAAACUCGUGAUGAAUCAAAAAAAGAACAAAUGGCAAUAGUUCUUCGGUUUGUCAACAAAGAAGAUCACAUCAAGGAGAGUUUUCUUGACCUUAUUCAUGUUAGUGACACUACCGCAUUGACUCUUAAGAACACAAUUUGUGCUGUCUUGUCAGAUAAUAACCUGAGUGUGCAAGAUAUUAGAGCUCAAGGCUACGAUGGUGCAAGUAACAUGAGAGGGGGGUGGAAUGGAUUCAAGGCUUUAAUUCUUAAAGAGUGCCCUUAUGCAUAUUACAUCCAUUGUAUGGCACAUCAACUUCAAUUAGCUCUAGUUGCAGCAUCAAGAGAGGGAGAGGGGCUAAUCAGAUAGGCUCUCUUCAAAGGCUAGGGGACACUAGAUGGAGUUCUCAUAACAAGUCUAUCCGGAGCUUGAAGAAAAUGUUUGCUGCCACAAUUUCAGUGCUACGCAAUAUUGCUAAUGAUCGUUCAGUUUCAAGGUACGUUGAUGUGACCAAGUCUAGGAACAAGCAUGAUAACACCACAACUCUUCACCACUAUAAAAUAGAUGUGUUUAAUGUGGCGGUUGAUCAACAGCUAGCCGAGUUGGAAGAUCGAUUCAGCUCUCAAGCGACAGAGCUGCUAUCUCUUUGUGCCUCUUUGGAUCCAAGACUUGACACCUUUAAUGUGUCAAAUAUAUCAACCUUAGUAAAAAAAAUACUAUCCUGCUGAUUUUACUAAUCAAGAAAGAGCCCAAUUAGAGUGUCAACUUCCACAUUUUCAACUUGAUGUGUGCAACCAUCCAGAGCUAAGUAUGGUGGCAUCACUUGCUGUUAUGAUAAAAGGACUGGUUAAAUUGGGUAAAAUUUCCAUUUAUCCAUUGGUUGACAGAUUGUUAAGGUUAGUGGUGACUCUUCCAGUUUCAACUGCAACCGUGGAGAGAGUUUUUUCAGCUGUGAGACUUUGCAAGACACGCACACGGAAUAAAAUGGGAGAUGAUUAUACACGAAGUUACACGAUCAUUUAUGUUGAGAAGGAAUUGGCAGCAAAGAUUAGUUCUCUUGGCAUAUUGAAAGCUUUUGAUUUAGGUGGUCCUUGCAGAGGCAACUUCAAGUUGAUAGAGAUGUAAUAACCAUGUAAGUCUCUUGUGCUCCAACAUAUUACAUAUGUAUAUGCUACCUUAUUUUGUUAUCUCUAAGAGCUAAUUAGUAGACAAUUGUAUGCUGCAAU